UACGUAGGGGGCGAGCGUUGUCCGGAUUUAUUGGGCGUAAAGAGCGUGUAGGCGGCUGGGUAGGUCCGCUGUGAAAACUCGAGGCUUAACCUCGAGACGUCGGUGGAAACCAUCCAGCUAGAGUCCGGAAGAGGAGAGUGGAAUUCCUGGUGUAGCGGUGAAAUGCGCAGAUAUCAGGAAGAACACCCGUGGCGAAAGCGGCUCUCUGGGACGGUACUGACGCUGAGACGCGAAAGCGUGGGGAGCGAACAGG
RNAcentral lists this ribosomal RNA (253 nucleotides) under uncultured bacterium. Its description in RNAcentral is "partial 16S ribosomal RNA". It matches the Rfam family "Bacterial small subunit ribosomal RNA", at positions 524 to 776 of the family's 1533-position model. The record is from RNAcentral.